GCGAGAGUGGCGGAACUGGCAGACGCGCACGUUUGAGGGGCGUGUGGAUAACACCGUACGGGUUCAAGUCCCGUUUCUCGCACCA
This 85-nucleotide transfer RNA is filed under the name Clostridiales bacterium. Its description in RNAcentral is "tRNA-Leu". It matches the Rfam family "tRNA". From Rfam's summary of the family: Transfer RNA (tRNA) molecules are approximately 80 nucleotides in length. Their secondary structure includes four short double-helical elements and three loops (D, anti-codon, and T loops). The record is from RNAcentral. Lineage: Bacteria; Bacillati; Bacillota; Clostridia; Eubacteriales.